This 334-nucleotide ribosomal RNA is filed under the name uncultured eukaryote. RNAcentral's name for it is "partial 18S ribosomal RNA". It matches the Rfam family "Eukaryotic small subunit ribosomal RNA", at positions 1470 to 1796 of the family's 1831-position model. The record is from RNAcentral.
CCCUUAGAUGUCCGGGGCCGCACGCGCGCUACACUGAAGGAAUCAGCGUGGCUUUCUCCCUGACCCGAAAGGGUUGGGAAACCCGUUGAAUCUCCUUCGUGAUAGGGAUUGGGGCUUGAAAUUGUUCUCCAUGAACGAGGAAUUCCCAGUAAGCGCGAGUCAUAAGCUCGCGUUGAUUACGUCCCUGCCCUUUGUACACACCGCCCGUCGCUACUACCGAUUGAACGGUUUAGUGAGGGCCUCGGAUUGGUCUCGGCCCGCUCUUUACCGGGCGGCGCCGUUGGUCGAGAAGACGCUCGAACUUGAUCGUUUAGAGGAAGUAAAAGUCGUAACA